RNAcentral lists this ribosomal RNA (468 nucleotides) under uncultured bacterium. Its description in RNAcentral is "partial 16S ribosomal RNA". It matches the Rfam family "Bacterial small subunit ribosomal RNA", at positions 28 to 507 of the family's 1533-position model. The record is from RNAcentral.
GACGAACGCUGGCGGCGUGCUUAACACAUGCAAGUCGAACGGAAAGGCCCUGCUUUUGUGGGGUGCUCGAGUGGCGAACGGGUGAGUAACACGUGAGUAACCUGCCCUUGACUUUGGGAUAACUUCAGGAAACUGGGGCUAAUACCGGAUAGGAGCUCCUGCUGCAUGGUGGGGGUUGGAAAGUUUCGGCGGUUGGGGAUGGACUCGCGGCUUAUCAGCUUGUUGGUGGGGUAGUGGCUUACCAAGGCUUUGACGGGUAGCCGGCCUGAGAGGGUGACCGGCCACAUGGGGACUGAGGUACGGCCCAGACUCCUACGGGAGGCAGCGGUGGGGAGUAUUGCACAAUGGGCGGAAGCCUGAGGCAGCAGCGCCGCGUGCGGGAUGACGGCCUUCGGGUUGUAAACCGCUUUCGCCUGUGACGAAGCGCGAGUGACGGUAAUGGGUAAAGAAGCACCGGCUAACUACGUG